RNAcentral lists this ribosomal RNA (433 nucleotides) under uncultured bacterium. Its description in RNAcentral is "partial 16S ribosomal RNA". It matches the Rfam family "Bacterial small subunit ribosomal RNA", at positions 29 to 507 of the family's 1533-position model. The record is from RNAcentral.
AGCGAACGCUGGCGGCAGGCCUAACACAUGCAAGUCGAACGAACUCUUCGGAGUUAGUGGCGGACGGGUGAGUAACACGUGGGAACGUGCCUUUUGGUUCGGAAUAACUCAGGGAAACUUGUGCUAAUACCGAAUGUGCCCUUCGGGGGAAAGAUUUAUCGCCAUUAGAGCGGCCCGCGUCUGAUUAGCUAGUUGGUGAGGUAACGGCUCACCAAGGCGACGAUCAGUAGCUGGUCUGAGAGGAUGACCAGCCACACUGGGACUGAGACACGGCCCAGACUCCGACGGGAGGCAGCAGUGGGGAAUCUUGCGCAAGGGGCGAAAGCCUGACGCAGCCAUGCCGCGUGAAUGAUGAAGGUCUUAGGAUUGUAAAAUUCUUUCUCCGGGGACGAUAAUGACGGUACCCGGAGAAGAAGCCCCGGCUAACUUCGUG